RNAcentral lists this long non-coding RNA (2390 nucleotides) under Lupinus angustifolius (narrow-leaved blue lupine). Its description in RNAcentral is "long non-coding RNA (LANG_LNC003083)". Lineage: Eukaryota; Viridiplantae; Streptophyta; Magnoliopsida; Fabales; Fabaceae. The record is from RNAcentral.
CAUUUUGGUCCAAGUUGUUUUCAAAACAGAACCACAUCAACCCUUCAUUCUUCACCCGUUUGUUAAUGUUAAUAGAGUUGAUCAAGUGGCACGUUAAGUGCUGACAUGACCACAUGUGGUGAUUCCACGCUCAAAAGUUAUCGUGCUCCUAUGUAUCGCUAGAUCCAAUAGGGAAAUCAAGACUACAUAAUUAUGGUUUGAAAAUAAUUAGAUUAGUUUGGUUGACUUUUGUUGAUUUGGAAAAUAUCGAUGGAUUUGGGAGAGUUGAUUUUAAUUGAUUUUGAAAUAUUAAUAAUAUAUCAUUAUUUUAAUUCAAUGGAACUAAUAGCUUAGAGACGGUGUCUUUGCAUUUUUAGAGAAGUUAGAGAUGACUCAAACCAUGACCUUACUAUAAAAAAACCGUAAAAUUCAGUAAGUGGUAAGAUAGUUUUGAAUUAUUUUUAUAUGAAAUUAAUAGCUUUGAGGCAUAGACCUUUUUCCCCAUUUUCAGAGAAUUUAGAGAGAACUCGAAUCAUGACCUUACUAUAAAAAAACCAUAAAAUUCAUUUAGGAGAUAAAAUCAUUUUUAAUUAUUUUUUAUAUGGAACUAAUAGCUUUGAGUCAGUAUUGGCCGUAAACCUUCUUCCCAUAAAAUUACUUAUUUAGUCACACUUUAUAACAUUAUAUGUAAUGAUAAUUAGGACUCAAGUUAGUUUUGUGGCCUAUUGUUAUUUCCUAAUAGGUUUGCAGACAUAAAUAAAUAAAAAAAUCUAUAAAUUAAUACAAAGAUGGGAAAAUAACAAACUUGAUGGUGCAGGUGGUUAGGAAGCAAAAAAAAAUAUGGCUUUUGUGAGGUGCAAAGAUUUGGACAAAGAGUUCUUUAAUUGUAUGAGCCAGUGAAACACACAGCUCCUUUAGUAGUGGGUAAUAUCUUCUACAUCUUUGUCGUAAACCUCUUCCAUAUCUAUGCCUAAUGGAGAUAGUAACAUUGCUUUGCUCCAAUGGAACGAAACACAUGGGAUAUCCACGAAGAGGCUGGUUCAUAUGCAUAAAUUGUGGCCCCAAGUUUGGAAAAGAGAACAUUUUAGGGAUGACCCAUGUUUUGUUGUGAGUGGCUUACCCGUGAAGUAGUAGUGGAUAUAGUGGUGGAUAUAGUGGUGGCUAUAGUGGUGGUUAGCUUUGUUAUUGGUAUGGAAGUGGUGUCUGAAACUCGUCCAUUGUAGGAAUGAAUGAAGUGAGGCUUUCAGGAUUUUUGUUUAGUAAAGUGAGAGUGAAAGUUUAUCAAGGUAGUAUAAAAAGGGGUUGAGGCAAUGGAACAAACACAAGAUUUAAGGUGAUUAAGACAAAUACUUCAAAAGAAAUUGGUAUGAAGGAAAAUUAAGAUGAGAAUUGAGAAUAGGAAAGAGACUCCAUUCUAUGAUACCAUGGGAUGUAACAAUAUCAAGAGGAAUAGUUCAUUUGAUCCAUUUGAGGUAGAGAUGUUGAUGUGGGUGACAUGGAUUAAAGUGGAAGCCAAGCAAGAAUGAUGGUGGCACCAUACGAGGACUGCUGAAAAGAAGAGAAUCCCCCAUUUCAUUAUGCGUUAGACUUUUUUAGUAGAAGAUACACAUUACUUCUACUUGAAGAUGGGAUCUGCCACAAACUCAUAGCAACCAAAUAUAUUUAUAAAGUUGUCUCUUUUUCUUUUUUGUAAUUUCGUGACAUUAAGAAGGUGAAGUAGGUAACAUCUUCUAAAUCUUCCCCCUCUCUUUUUGUAACAGUGUAAGAUUAAAUGAGACACUUCUCUUUCCUCUAGAAACUGUCCCCUCAAGAUUAAUAUAGGUGUGGCAUGUACAUGUCAAAGAAAAUGUUCCAUCUAGUGAUGAAAAUGAAUGGGUUUUUAGUGUUUUUUUGUAAACCUCCUUCAACUCGUUUUUAAAUGGGAGUAUAUAAUAAAAAAGUCUAACCACCUAGCAUAUCUAGAUAAUUUUUUGAGAGACAGCUAUGGUAAAGAUUAACCAAAUAAUUAGGGUUUUACUAUUAACAAAUAAAUCUAUUUGCAAAUUUGUUGGAAAAUUUGUGGUGUUACAUCUAGAGGUAUCACAUUGUGCCUAGUAAUAAACACAAAAUUUUAAACCCUAAAUCGUGUAUCUUCACCUCAGAUUUUCACCCCCAAAUAAUUUUAGUUCUCUUAAGGAUAAUUUGGAUACAUCAAGGGUUAAUGCUUCUGGAAUUUACAAACAGAAUUGUAAUCGCGAACUAUGAUGGGUAAAACUGAGGAACACGUUGAUGGAAAAGGCUCGAAAUGAUAUUCAUAAAAAGCUAAAUGUGUGGAAGUUUUCUUCAUUAUCAAGGAAUUUACAGAAACCAAAGAAUGUUAUUGCAAAGACAGAGUUGAAAAUAAAGAAAACGAAGAUCUGCCAAGAAGAGAG